UAAUAGCACUCCAGUUCAUAAAGGCAUUGAUGCUGUCACAUCUGGAAAGGAGAGCGUGAAUAGCUUGCAUGAUGAUGUUCAAAACGUGUGCAAUACAGUCUUCGACACUAAAAGCAAUGAUGAAAUUGGAAGUAAAUUUGAUGGUGACAAUAUAGAUGACAAAGCGGUGCACGAAAGAGAUGAGGAUUCCGAAAGAUUGCGUUUUGAUAGUCUAGCUAGUGAAGGGAUGUCCAGUGAUGCUGAACUUUCACAUGGCCCCUCUGUUUUGGCUGAUGCAAGGUUGUCUGAAGUAGAUACUUCUUUUACUUCGUUCAGCAGAGAUAUGUCUAGCAAUGAUGCUGUUGCAUUGGGAAAUGAAGCUACUGAUAGCCGUAUUUCUCAUGGUCAAAGUCCAGCGGAUAUGGUUCAAGAGAUCAUUGGUAAAGCAGUAGGAAGUGAAUCUAAUGAUGUGGACAGAAGUAGCAAUGACAAAUUGAUGUGUGAAGACUUUGAGGAUGACAAAAGUUUCAACUACAGUAGUCCAGCUGCUGAAGGGAUGUCUUGUAAUGCUGAGUUUUCCCAAGGCCUAUCUACUUCUGUUGAUUCCAAAAUUUCUGAAGUGGGUAAUUAUUGUGCUUCAAAUACUGAAGACGUGUGUAGCAACGACACUGGUGGGGCUGAAAAUGAAGAUUUGAAUAGCUCUACUGAUGACCCCCAACUGCCGGGACCUAACUUGAUCAGAGACGGUAGAGGAGUUGAAAAUUUGGAAGGUGAAUUAAAUGGUGGUGAUAACAGUAUAAACAAGGAAAUACUUAACAAAAAAUGUGAGGAUCCGGAAAAAUCAAACAACAAUUCAGAUAACGUGCGGGUGCAUAGUGAUGCUGAAUUUUCUAUCGAUCAGUCUGUUUUAGCUGAUGUGAAAUUGUGCAAAGCUGGAAAUUCUUCUGCUUCAAGCAUUAAAGAUGAGUGCCACGAUGUUGUAUGUGGAAGUACUUUGAAUGACCCCAUUCGUGAAUGUAAAAUGGUGCCCGAUAUGGCUACGGAGUUCAGUGACAUUAAGAAGGAAGGUGAAUCUAGUGUUGCGGACCAAACCAGCGAUGACAAAUUCAUACAUGAAAGUGUGGAUGCUGAAAAACCACCGAGCAUAAGUAUUGAUGAAAGGAUGUCUUGCAAUGAUGAAAGUAGCCAGGAUCAGGCUACUAUUGCUGAUUUAGAGUUAUCUGAAGCGGGAAAUACUUCAAGCGGUAGAGAUGUUUCUAGCUUUGAUGCUAUGACAUUGGAAAAUGAGACUUUGACUUGUCCAAUUGAAAUUGAUCAAGAGUCAGCCAACACGAGCAUAGAGAUCGCAGGCAGUGAAGAAAUGACAGGUGGUUCAGACAGGAGUAAUGAUGACGAACUUAAAUGUGAACAAAGUGGGAAUGCUGAAAUUUCAAAGACUAACGAAGUGUUGGCCUCUUCGGCUGAAUGUUUCUCUGUGGAUGUUGCUACUGUAAAGGAUAUAAAUCAGAUUGCAGCAAAGGGAUUUUACUUCCUGAUCAGGAUGCCAAGAUUUGAUGAUGAAAAGAUUCGAGAAUGCAUCAAAGUUGCCGAGCAAAAUGUUGAUGAGAAGACACAGCAAAGGGAUGCAUUUAGACAAAAAAUCAGAAAUGAAAGAGCCAAUUGCCAAACCCAUGGUACUGAAUUUGAAGCUGCCAAAGCUCAAGAGAGAGAUGCUAGAAAGCAAGUCAGGACAAAGCGUGCAGAUAUCUCGUCACUUCAAGAUAUAAUUGAUAAAGCAAAGAACGCAGUUGCCGUUACUGAGAUUGAUAAUAGGAUUUGUAAUAUGGAGCACAUUAUUGGACAUGAAACUGUACCUCUAAAGGAGGAAAAGCUUCUAAUUCGUGAAAUCAAGCAACUGAAGCAGCUUCGUGGACAGCUUUCCUCUAACAUUGGCAGCCAGGAUGAAGUGCAGAAGUCUCUGGAUGAGAGAGAAGUAAACGAAGAGCGAUUGAGGGCCUUGAAGAAAGAGCUUGAUAGCCUCAAAGUCAAGGUCUCAAAAGCUGAAACAAUUGCGAUGGCAGCUAGCCGAAAAUUUGAAGAUGAGAGUCGAAAGCUCAAAGAAUUGCAAGCACAGUUUAAAGCUGCAGAUGAUGUUCGCCAAGAAGCAUAUGAAGAAUUGCGGAAUUUAAAAAAGGGACUGUAUGAGAAGAAUAUUCAUUUCCGGACAUACAAGGAUGAAGCGACUUUGGCUAGUGAUCAUGCCCGAAAGAUAGAAAUGGAGACUCUUAAUCAUCUCUGUGUGGAUCAGGUUGAAAGGUACAUGGAUCUUUGGAACAAGAAUGAUGAGUUCAGAAAAGAUUACAUCAGGUGUAAUACAAGGAGUACAGUAAGGAGAUUUGGGACCUUGGAUGGUCGUUCACUUGGUCCUGAUGAGGAGCCAGCUGUUCUUCCCAGUUACCGGGUGGAAAGAGUUAAUAGGAUGGUAUCUAGUGUAGAUAAAGUUAGUAGUAUGUCACAACGUCCGGUCUCUCAGCUAGUAAAACAAGUAGUAGUUCUUAAGGAUGAAAUUAAGGAUGACAGUAUUGUUGUGCCAGCAGCCGAAGGUAUGAAACAGGUUGAGAAAACGAAAGAGGCUCGCAAACCAAUUCAAAGAGAGAGUACGGUUGAGGAGCCAAAAGAGGCCGAGCCUGUGCAAACUGCUGAGGAGCUAGAGGCUGCUAGAAAGGAGGAGGAACUGAGAAAGCGUGAGGAAGAAGCAAGGUUGAAAGAGCAACGACGGUUGGAAGAGAUUGCAAAGGCUAAGGAGGCAUUAGAAAGGAAAAAACGCAAUGCAGAGAAGGCCCAACUGAGAGCUGAAAUGCGAGCCCAGAAGGAAGAAGAGCAGAGACUCAAGGAGAAGGAGAAAAAACUGCGGAAAAGGGAAAGGAAGAAGGGCUCCGUAGGUGAAACACAGAGCGAAACUAAUGAUGGUGAAGCUGCUUUGAUUUCUACCAGCCUAAGAGAAACUGUCAAGGAGCCCGAUGCUACUGAGAAUUCUCAAACACUCACUAGGAGAAAACAGAAAUCGUCUCAAUAUACAAAACAGAUGAAGACUAAAUCCAUUCCUCCCCCUCCUCGUAUCAAAGGUAAAAGGAAAUGGCAGCAGUGGCUUUGGUUAUUUCUUUCUUGCGCAGUCGUCAUUGCUCUGUUCUUCCUAGGAAAUAUUGGCUUCUUCUCCCAUCUGAAGCCACCAAAAAACCCUGCAUAUUAGGGUCAUUACCUUGUUAGAUCUGGCUUGGAGUAAAGACUACAGGUUUGUUUUAUAUCUUACAGAUGAAGUGAGGAGAGAGACCAUUCUUUCGUUCUAUAUAUAUACAUAAUAUAUGUUGGUUCAUCAUAGAUUUGAACAUUUGGUUCUUAGUAGAGUGAGCAGAUGUUUUAAGCAACAUAGAACAUAAUAUUGGUAUUUAUUACUUUACUACAAAAA
RNAcentral lists this unclassified non-coding RNA (3424 nucleotides) under Hevea brasiliensis (rubber tree). The record is from RNAcentral. Lineage: Eukaryota; Viridiplantae; Streptophyta; Magnoliopsida; Malpighiales; Euphorbiaceae.